CCUUAGAUAACCUCCGGAGGGAUAACUAAUCAGACCCUCAGAAUAACAUCAAGAGUGCAAGAUGCCAUUGGCACAAGCUCAUUGUCGGUGCACAUUGCCUCUCGUGCGAAGAUAAAAAGUACUAGAUAUCAUAGGUACAAGAUCGUCGCAAGCACACAAUGCCACUCAUGAGGGAUAACUAAUUAGAUCCUCAGAAUGCCGCUGAAAGUAUAAAAUAUCGUAGGCACAAGCUCACCGC
RNAcentral lists this long non-coding RNA (238 nucleotides) under Elaeis guineensis (African oil palm). RNAcentral describes it as "long non-coding RNA (EGUI_LNC040282)". The record is from RNAcentral. Lineage: Eukaryota; Viridiplantae; Streptophyta; Magnoliopsida; Arecales; Arecaceae.